This 507-nucleotide ribosomal RNA is filed under the name uncultured bacterium. RNAcentral describes it as "bacterial SSU rRNA". It matches the Rfam family "Bacterial small subunit ribosomal RNA", at positions 30 to 518 of the family's 1533-position model. The record is from RNAcentral.
UAAACGCUGGCGGCGUGCUUAACACAUGCAAGUCGAACGGAGUGGUCCUCCCGAAGACCUGAUUGAGCUUGCUCUUGAUGGAAUUCAUUUGGAUCACGUUAGUGGCGGACGGGUGAGUAACGCGUGGGUAACCUGCCCUAUACUGGGGGAUAGCAGUUGGAAACGACUGAUAAUACCGCAUAAGCGCACAGCACCGCAUGGUGCAGUGUGAAAAACUCCGGUGGUAUAGGAUGGACCCGCGUCUGAUUAGCUAGUUGGUGAGGUAACGGCCCACCAAGGCGACGAUCAGUAGCCGGCCUGAGAGGGUGUACGGCCACAUUGGGACUGAGACACGGCCCAAACUCCUACGGGAGGCAGCAGUGGGGAAUAUUGGACAAUGGGGGAAACCCUGAUCCAGCCGACGCCGCGUGAGUGAAGAAGUAUCUCGGUAUGUAAAGCUCUAUCAGCAGGGAAGAUAAUGACGGUACCUGACUAAGAAGCACCGGCUAAAUACGUGCCAGCCGCCGC